CUAAAUUUUACGAUAAUGUGCAACAAACACCGCGAAAUCAAUUUUUAAGAAAAUUAUGUGAAAAAGCAGCCGUAGCAAUUUUAGCACAAGUUGUCAAACCUAACAAGCGCGUGCAUGAUUGCACAAAAUCUUGAAGUUGUGCUUAUUUUAGUUGUGCCGUGUGUGGGCCUGCAUAACAAACUGAUAAAAAGAAUCAGUAAAGUGCAACUACAUAUAAAAAGCGUGCUGCAAAUUAGUGAUUUUGUGUAAUCAAAUCAGUGUUAAAUAUAGUUAAUAAGGCAUAUAAUUGUAAACACAAGAGAUCCAAACGUAUAGAAGCUGGCGGCGCACCGCUGCAAGCUCUGCAGGGGUGCGGGGCAACCUGUGUUUGUUAUCAUUUCGUUGCGGCCGCAGUGAGCGAUUGUGUUACCAGGAUUUUGCACGGAUGAGCUGAGCGCGCAAAUGUCACGAUGAGCAACAAUGAGGACAACAAUUACCCCAACUCAGCUGCAGACACAGCCCAAAGACUGAGCUCCAUUGUCGUGGAUCCCACCUCGAAUACCAGCCCAGAAAAGCAGCAGAAUAAGCCACAACAACACAAACCCAACUAUUACUAUCAUCGUUACGUAGGCCGUCCACAUUGGCGAUUUGCCGUGCCCAUUAGCCCGUAUGGCUGGUAUCGCGUUCUGGUGUUUAGCCAGAACAGCGGCUACACCGUGAAGCAGGUGCUGGAUAAGCUGCGUCUGGCCGUGGCGCCACGGAAGUUCAGGUAUUACUAUCUGCAUGAGGGCGGUGAGCAGGAUGUGGAGCAGGAUAAACGGGCCACGUUCACCUUCUAUGUGGAUAGCUACAAACUGGCCGCCGAGCUGCAGCUGCGCGGACAUCGUCCGCCGGUCGUGGGUCUGCGCGUUAACGACAGACCGCCCAUGAUCGAGGUGGACGAACCGUACAGAUGGAAGCUGCGCAAGGUGAUAAUGUCGCGGUACGAUGAGCGGAAGCGCUGCCUCAAUCUGUGCCGCUUCUAUGCGGACGAUUACUGGAAGGGCGAGUUCUGUGCGCUGCAGCAGUUCGAGUGCCUGGAGGCAAUCAUUGACAUUAUGGAGCAGGAGCUGCCGCAGCUGCGUCGCCUGCUGCUGGACAACAACCACCUGUGCCACCUGGGCGGCUUUCGUGGCGUUGAACAGCGAUUGCCGCGGCUGCACUGCAUCUCGCUGCAGCACAACGAGCUGAAGACGCUUCGACCGCUGCGCGUCUUUCAGCGCCUGCGUCUCACCGAGCUCAAUGUCAAGCGGAAUCCGCUGCCGCGCAACUACGAGCAGCAGCUGGUGACCAUGUUUCCGGAUCUGCGCACCCUCAACGGCCGUUCCGUGGCCAGACGCAGCACUCCCGUAGUCACGGUCAGUGACAGUGACAGCGACAGCAACAGCAUUAGCAGCAACAGCGACAGCGAUGUGGAGCUUGUCUCUGUCACCGAGUGCAAGCCGAUUAUCAUGCCGGAGCCGAGGGUCACGUACCUGGCGCCACAUGCGCUGCCCAUGCAGCUGGGCAUCAGGAAGUUCGUACGUCGCUAUCUGAAGGCGUUCGACGGCGAUAAAAGGACCACGGAUCUGCAGCGCUUCUAUCAGGAGCACGUUCUAGUUUCCCUCACACUUGCCAAGGAUCGCGCCAUGCUGGGUUCAUGGACUGCGCCCUAUGCUGCCUAUAGUCGCCAGCUGCUGGCGUGCCGGGUCGCGGCGCUGGAGAUGUUCGCCUCGUGGCCCAAAACGUUGCAUUUGCCGUUAACGAUGACCCUGGAUCUGACGCUGGUCGAGCCCCGGAUGCUGUGCGUUUCCAUAACUGGCAGCCUCGAGGAGAACGGCUCGCCCAACGUGCUGCGGCAUUAUAUGCGCACCUUUCUGCUGACCAGGACCGAUGAAACUGACGACUUUCGCAUAGCCAAUGAGCUCAUCUAUCUCAGCAGAGCUGGCCGUGGCCAGCGCCAGCCGGCGCCGCUCAAUCCUGUCCAACGUAACUUGAUGUGCAUGCUGUCGGCGGAGACGCGGCUGAAGUCGCGCUGGAGCAGCAAAUUCCUCAAGGACACCAAUUGGGACUAUCAGCAGGCCUUGCUGGCAUUCCAAACACUCCUCCGACGACGCCAGAUACCCGAGAAGGCAUUCGAGGGUGAUACCAAGCCAGAGCCGAGUCCAUGACAUCAGCUGCGCACUAUAUUCCCAAUGUGCCCGCAGGGAAAUUGAAAAUUCCACAGAUUAUGCUGAUUACAUUUUAUUUGAAUUUGAAUUUGAUGUGCGAGGGUAUAACGUGUCCAACGACUAUGAGAAUCAGGCCGCACCUUCAGCUCCUUCAAUUACGAUUUAUGAUUUGUUUGCUCAGUUUUGACAAUAUCAUCUGGAAUAAUACCGUAGCCAUACUUGUAAAAUAACUGAAAAUCUAUCCUCCUGGGAUUAAAGUGUAUCUUCAGAGUUGCAUGCAUGAAACUUUAAUUUCCGCUCUGAGAAUUAUGAAGCUUUACGACGAAAAAUCUGUGGAAAAUCAGAAAUGAAUACAGAAUAUAAAAAUACGUAAACAUCGAGGUAAUAAGAGCAAAUAGAAAUACUGGACCGUGCAGCUCCGGGGUAUGUGUAUAUAUAUAAGAAACUAUUUAAAGAAAUCCGAUUACUGUAUAUAAAACUUAAAAAAUUAAUUUAAAAACCAUUUGUGUUGUUAAUAUUGCAAAAAAUGUUAGAAAUUAAUGAAAGUUUACAAAACAAU
Drosophila novamexicana is the source of this 2727-nucleotide RNA transcript. It is a transcript of the gene named nuclear RNA export factor 1, with no coding region annotated. The transcript has 4 exons. The record is from RefSeq and is a predicted model, not a curated record. NCBI's taxonomy places the organism in Eukaryota, Metazoa, Arthropoda, Insecta, Diptera, Drosophilidae.